RNAcentral lists this ribosomal RNA (497 nucleotides) under uncultured bacterium. RNAcentral's name for it is "partial 16S ribosomal RNA". It matches the Rfam family "Bacterial small subunit ribosomal RNA", at positions 28 to 507 of the family's 1533-position model. The record is from RNAcentral.
GAUGAACGCUGGCGGCGUGCCUAAUACAUGCAAGUCGAGCGAACAGACGAGGAGCUUGCUCCUCUGACGUUAGCGGCGGACGGGUGAGUAACACGUGGAUAACCUACAUAUAAGACUGGGAUAACUUCGGGAAACCGGAGCUAAUACCGGAUAAUAUAUUGAACCGCAUGGUUCAAUAGUGAAAGACGGUUUUGCUGUAACUAAUAGAUGGAUCCGCGCUGGAUUAGCUAGUUGGUAAGGUAACGGCUUACCAAGGCAACGAUGCGUAGCCGACCUGAGAGGGUGAUCGGCCACACUGGAACUGAGACACGGUCCAGACUCCUACGGGAGGCAGCAGUAGGGAAUCUGCCGCAAUGGGCGAAAGCCUGACGGAGCAACGCCGCGUGGGUGAUGAAGGUCUUCGGAUCGUAAAGCUCUUUUAUUGGGGAAGAACAAAUGUAUAGUUAAAUAUGCACGUCUUGACGGUACCUAAUCAGAAAGCAACGGCUAACUACGUG